GACGAACGCUGGCGGCGUGCCUAAUACAUGCAAGUAGAACGCUGAAGAGAGGAGCUUGCCCUUCUUGGAUGAGUUGCGAACGGGUGAGUAACGCGUAGGUAACCUGCCUUGUAGCGGGGGAUAACUAUUGGAAACGAUAGCUAAUACCGCAUAACAAUGGAUGACACAUGUCAUUUAUCUGAAAGGGGCAAUUGCUCCACUACAAGAUGGACCUGCGUUGUAUUAGCUAGUAGGUGAGGUAAUGGCUCACCUAGGCGACGAUACAUAGCCGACCUGGGAGGGUGGUCGGCCACACUUGGGCUGAGACACGGCCCAGACUCCUUCGGGAGGCAGCAGUAGGGAAUCUUCGGCAAUGGGGGCAACCCUGACCGAACAACGCCGCGUGAGUGAAGAAGGUUUUCGGAUCGUAAAGCUCUGUUGUAAGUCAAGAACGGGUGUGAGAGUGGAAAGUUCACACUGUGACGGUAGCUUACCAGAAAGGGACGGCUAACUACGUG
Molecule: ribosomal RNA, 497 nt
Filed under: uncultured bacterium
Lineage: Bacteria
Description: partial 16S ribosomal RNA
Rfam family: Bacterial small subunit ribosomal RNA
Source: RNAcentral